AUCUACAGCCAUGCCACCCUGAAUGUGCCCGACCUCGUGUCUAAUCUCAGAAGCUAAGCAAGGUUGGGCUUGGUUAGCAGUCUCUACAUGGGAGACCACCUACUGCUGUAGGUG
This 114-nucleotide ribosomal RNA is filed under the name Pteropus alecto (black flying fox). Lineage: Eukaryota; Metazoa; Chordata; Mammalia; Chiroptera; Pteropodidae. The record is from RNAcentral.